RNAcentral lists this ribosomal RNA (141 nucleotides) under Escherichia coli. Its description in RNAcentral is "partial 16S ribosomal RNA". It matches the Rfam family "Bacterial small subunit ribosomal RNA", at positions 1 to 135 of the family's 1533-position model. RNAcentral also lists the same sequence under 2 other names. Lineage: Bacteria; Pseudomonadati; Pseudomonadota; Gammaproteobacteria; Enterobacterales; Enterobacteriaceae. The record is from RNAcentral.
AAAUUGAAGAGUUUGAUCAUGGCUCAGAUUGAACGCUGGCGGCAGGCCUAACACAUGCAAGUCGAACGGUAACAGGAAGCAGCUUGCUGUUUCGCUGACGAGUGGCGGACGGGUGAGUAAUGUCUGGGAAACUGCCUGAUG